GGGAAUGUAGCUUAGUGGUAGAGUGCUUGCCUUACAUGCAUGAAGCCCUGGAUUCGAGUCCUCAGUACCA
This 70-nucleotide transfer RNA is filed under the name Dipodomys ordii (Ord's kangaroo rat). It matches the Rfam family "tRNA". Rfam says of the family: Transfer RNA (tRNA) molecules are approximately 80 nucleotides in length. The record is from Rfam by way of RNAcentral. Lineage: Eukaryota; Metazoa; Chordata; Mammalia; Rodentia; Heteromyidae.